GUUUGUGGCUCAGUGGUAGAGCACUUGCCUACCAUGUUUGAGACCAUGGGUUUGAUCCUCAGCAACA
This 67-nucleotide transfer RNA is filed under the name Marmota monax (woodchuck). RNAcentral describes it as "tRNA.Gly". Lineage: Eukaryota; Metazoa; Chordata; Mammalia; Rodentia; Sciuridae. The record is from RNAcentral.